This 233-nucleotide ribosomal RNA is filed under the name uncultured bacterium. RNAcentral's name for it is "partial 16S ribosomal RNA". It matches the Rfam family "Bacterial small subunit ribosomal RNA", at positions 524 to 756 of the family's 1533-position model. The record is from RNAcentral.
UACGAAGGGGGCUAGCGUUGUUCGGAAUUACUGGGCGUAAAGCGCGCGCAGGCGGUCUUCCAAGUCAGUGGUGAAAGCCCGGAGCUCAACUCCGGAACUGCCAUUGAAACUGUUGGACUUGAGGAUGAGAGAGGUGAGUGGAAUUCCCAGUGUAGAGGUGAAAUUCGUAGAUAUUGGGAAGAACACCGGUGGCGAAGGCGGCUCACUGGCUCAUUACUGACGCUCAGGCGCGA